RNAcentral lists this long non-coding RNA (3134 nucleotides) under Homo sapiens (human). RNAcentral's name for it is "HSALNT0355993". The record is from RNAcentral. Lineage: Eukaryota; Metazoa; Chordata; Mammalia; Primates; Hominidae.
GUUCAUCAAGGAUAUUGGUCUAAAAUUCUCUGUUUUGGUUGUGUCUCUGCCUGGCUUUGGUAUCAGGAUGAUGCUGGUCUCAGAAAAUUAGCUAGGGAGGAUUCCCUCUUUUUCUAUUGAUUGGAAUAGUUUCAGUAGGAAUGGUACCAGUUCCUCCUUGUACCUCUGGUAGAAUUCGGCUAUGAAUCCAUCUGGUCCUGGACUCUUUUUGGUUGGUAAGCUAUUGAUUAUUGCCACAAUUUCAGCUCCUGUUACUGGUCUAUUCAGAGAUUCAACUUCUUCCUGGUUUAGUCUUGGGAGAGUGUAUGUGUCAAGGAAUUUAUCCAUUUCUUCUAGAUUUUCUGGUUUAUUUGCAUAGAGGUGUUUGUAGUAAUCUCUGAUGGUAGUUUGUAUUUCUGUGGGAUUGGUGGUGAUAUCCCCUUUAUCAUUUUUUAUUGUGUCUAUUUGAUUCUUCUCUCAUUUUUUCUUUAUUAGUCUUGCUAGCGGUCUAUCAAUUUUGUUGAUCCUUUUGAAAAACCAGCUCCUGGAUUCAUUAAUUUUUUGAAGGGUUUUUGUGUCUCUAUUUCCUUCAGUUCUGCUCUGAUUUUAGUUAUUUCUUGCCUUCUGCUAGCUUUUGAAUGUGUUUGCUCUUGCUUUUCUAGUUCUUUUAAUUGUGAUGUUAGGAUGUCAAUUUUAGAUCUUUCCUGCUUUCUCUUGUGGGCAUUUAGUGCUACAGAUUUCCCUCUACAAAGUGCUUUGAAUGUGUCCCAGAGAUUCUCGUAUGUUGUGUCUUUGUUCUCGUUGGUUUCAAAGAACAUCUUUAUUUCUGCCUUCAUUUCGUUAUAUUCCCAGUAGUCAUUCAAGAGCAGGUUGUUCAGUUUCCAUAUAGUUGAACAGUUCUGAGUGAUUUUCUUAAUCCUGAGUUCUAGUUUAAUUGCACUGUGGUCUGAGAGACAGUUUGUUAUAAUUUCUGUUCUUUUACAUUUGCUGAGGAGAGCUUUACUUCCAACUAUGUGGUCAAUUUUGGAAUAGGUGUGGUGUGGUGCUGAAAAAAAUGUAUAUUCUGUUGAUUUUGGGUGGAGAGUUCUGUAGAUGUCUAUUAGGUCCGCUUGGUGCAGAGCUGAGUUCAAUUCCUGGGUAUCCUUGUUAACUUUCUGUCUCGUUGAUCUGUCUAAUGUUGACAGUGGGGUGUUAAAGUCCCCCAUUAUUAAUGUGUGGGAGUCUAAGUCUUUACUUAAGAAGUCUAACUCCUCUUUGUCUCAGAAGAGUACCCGGCCAUGUGUGGUGUCAGUCUGCCCCUACUGGGGGGUGCCUCCCAGUUAGGCUGCUCGGGGGUCAGGGGUCAGGGACCCACUUGAGGAGGCAGUCUGCCCAUUCUCAGAUCUCCAGCUACAUGCUGGGAGAACUACUGCUCUCUUCAAAGCUGUCAGACCCCGGGACAUUUAAGUCUGCAGAGGUUACUGCUGUCUUUUUGUUUGUCUGUGCCCUGCCCCCAGAGGUGGAGCCUACAGAGGCAGGCAGGCCUCCUUGAGCUGUGGUGGCCUCCACCCAGUUGGAGCUUCUGGGCUGCUUUGUUUACCUAAGCGAGCCUGGACAAUGGCAGGCGCCCCUCCCGCAGCCUUGCUGCCGUCUUGCAGUUUGAUCUCAGACUGCUGUGCUAGCAAUCAGCGAGACUCCGUGGGCGUAGGACCCUCCGAACCAGGUGCGGGAUAUAAUCUCCUGGUGCGCCAUUUUUUAAGCCUGUCGGAAAAGCUCAGUAUUAGGGUGGGAGUGACCUGAUUUUCCAGGUGCUGUCUGUCACCCCUUUCUUUGACUAGGAAAGGGAACUCCCUGACCCCUUGUGCUUCCCGAGUGAGGCAAUGCCUCGCCCUGCUUCGGCUCUCGCACGGUGUGCUGCACCCACUUACCUGUGCCCACUGUCUGGCACUCCGUAGUGAGAUGAACCCGGUACCUCAGAUGGAAAUGCAGAAAUACCCGUCUUCCAGCAUUUCUUGUAGAGAAAACAGGAUUGGUAGUUUCUGUAGAAUUUGGUUACAUUCCAAGGGUUCCUGAAGCCAGGCAUUGAACUUUAUGAAAUUCUGAGAAACUUUCUUUUAAAAAUAGGAAGUGGAAAUGGAGGGUGAAGAAUUGGAAUAAGCCUCUAGCAAAUUUAGUAGUUACAAAUAACCACCCUAAUAAUUAUUUCACAUCUUAAAAAAAGAAAUGUUCUGCAUGCUCAAGAAAUUAAAAAUUUUCCUUUGGCUUUAUACACUUGACUACUAAGUUCAAAAAAAUGAAUGUUUCUUUAAUAACUACGUCAAUCAACUUCAGCAGAUGUGAAAUAAUCAUUAGAGUAAAAAAAGUUGAUUUGGAACAGGAUGACAGUGGUUUAUAUCAGUUUUAUUUGAGGCAUGCCAACAGUGAAUGUUAGACACUAAUGUAGGGAUGUUAGAGUAGAUAAUUUCAUGUUCCAUUCAGGAGUCUGGGGAAAAAAGCAGAGCUAGAGACACUGUUUGGGGGUUUCUCGGCCUAUAAGUGGUAUGUAAACCAGAAAAUAUGUAAGAUUAUCAAUGGAAUGACAAUAGACAGAAAAUCACCCAAAAAUUGGCAUAGGGAACUCCAAAGUGUAUGGCUUUUUCCAAUUUUCAGGAACAAAUAAUUUAAGAAAAGAUUGUGGUUACUAUGAAACUUGAGGGGAUGCUUAUCAGCUGAGAGACAUGGCUUUGAUGGGGUUAAGGUGGCCAACAGCAUAAGAACAGUUGAGAAUGAAUGUGUUAGAAAGUGUGCCCAGGUUAAAAAACACUGUUCUUCUCAAAAUGCCUUAAUCAAUAGGCCAUGACAUUGUCCCAAGUUUUCAAAAAGAGUCAUCUGAAAUAAAAAUUUGCAUCCUCAUGAUUAGCUGAUGAAAUUUAUACCCCUAAAAACUGCAGAAUAAUUACAUGUCUUUGUAAGAGGUGGUCCUAAAAGUUACCAAAGUUUAAAAGCAUCAUGCUAUUUUCCACAUAAUGUUUUUAUUUUCCACGUAAUGUUUUCAAAAGAUGUUUGAGAUUUUUGAAAAUUGGAUUAGAUGUAUUACCUACCAUUUUAAUAUUAAUUUGGCAGUACUAUGUAAUGACUUUGGGAUAUUUUGUGUUUCAUAUUUGAUAGUGUACCUUAUUUUAUGUAUAAAACAAAAA